CUCUCCAACCCAUUGUGAACUUACCAAACGUUCCCUCGGCGGGCUCAGCGCGCGGCGGCCUCCGGGCCUCCGGGCGUCCGCCGGGGAAAACCAAACCCUGAUUUAAUCGUAUUUUCUGAGGGGCGAAAGCCCGAAAACAAAAUGAAUCAAAACUUUCAACAACGGAUCUCUUGGCUCUGGCAUCGAUGAAGAACGCAGCGAAAUGCGAUAAGUAAUGUGAAUUGCAGAAUUCAGUGAAUCAUCGAAUCUUUGAACGCACAUUGCGCCCGCCGGCACUCCGGCGGGCAUGCCUGUCCGAGCGUCAUUUCAACCCUCAGGCCCACCCUUCCGGGGGAGCGGGCCUGGUGCUGGGGAUCGGCGGCCCUCGCGGCCCCCGUCCCUCAAAUUCAGUGGCGGUCGCGCCGCAGCCUCCCCUGCGUAGUAGCACAACCUCGCACCGGAGAGCGGAACGACCACGCCGUGAAACCCCC
RNAcentral lists this ribosomal RNA (470 nucleotides) under Sarocladium strictum. RNAcentral describes it as "eukaryotic LSU rRNA". The stretch from base 151 to 304 matches the Rfam family "5.8S ribosomal RNA". Lineage: Eukaryota; Fungi; Ascomycota; Sordariomycetes; Hypocreales; Sarocladiaceae. The record is from RNAcentral.